Molecule: ribosomal RNA, 253 nt
Filed under: uncultured bacterium
Lineage: Bacteria
Description: partial 16S ribosomal RNA
Rfam family: Bacterial small subunit ribosomal RNA
Source: RNAcentral
UACGUAGGUGGCAAGCGUUGUCCGGAUUUACUGGGCGUAAAGAGCGCGCAGGCGGUCGUUCAAGUCGCGUGUGGAAGCCCCCGGCUCAACUGGGGAGGGUCACGCGAUACUGAUCGACUCGAAGGCAGGAGAGGGAAGUGGAAUUCCCGGUGUAGUGGUGAAAUGCGUAGAUAUCGGGAGGAACACCAGUGGCGAAGGCAGCUCGCUGGGACGUUACUGGCGCUGAGACGCGAAAGCGUGGGGAGCAAACAGG